AGUGAACGCUGGCGGUAGACCUAACACAUGCAAGUCGAACGGCAGCACAGUAAGAGCUUGCUCUUACGGGUGGCGAGUGGCGGACGGGUGAGGAAUACAUCGGAAUCUACUUUUUCGUGGGGGAUAACGUAGGGAAACUUACGCUAAUACCGCAUACGACCUACGGGUGAAAGCAGGGGAUCUUCGGACCUUGCGCGAUUGAAUGAGCCGAUGUCGGAUUAGCUAGUUGGCGGGGUAAAGGCCCACCAAGGCGACGAUCCGUAGCUGGUCUGAGAGGAUGAUCAGCCACACUGGAACUGAGACACGGUCCAGACUCCUACGGGAGGCAGCAGUGGGGAAUAUUGGACAAUGGGCGCAAGCCUGAUCCAGCCAUACCGCGUGGGUGAAGAAGGCCUUCGGGUUGUAAAGCCCUUUUGUUGGGAAAGAAAAGCAGCAGGUUAAUACCCCGCUGUUCUGACGGUACCCAAAGAAAAAGCACCGGCUAACUUCGUG
Molecule: ribosomal RNA, 492 nt
Filed under: uncultured bacterium
Lineage: Bacteria
Description: partial 16S ribosomal RNA
Rfam family: Bacterial small subunit ribosomal RNA
Source: RNAcentral